UGGGGGAAUAUUGGACAAUGGGGGCAACCCUGAUCCAGCAAUGCCGCGUGUGUGAAGAAGGUCUUCGGAUCGUAAAGCACUUUCGACGGGGACGAUGAUGACGGUACCCGUAGAGGAAGCCCCGGCUAACUUCGUGCCAGCAGCCGCGGUAAUACGAAGGGGGCUAGCGUUGCUCGGAAUGACUGGGCGUAAAGGGCGUGUAGGCGGUUUACACAGUCAGAUGUGAAAUCCCCAGGCUU
This 239-nucleotide ribosomal RNA is filed under the name uncultured bacterium. Its description in RNAcentral is "partial 16S ribosomal RNA". It matches the Rfam family "Bacterial small subunit ribosomal RNA", at positions 354 to 610 of the family's 1533-position model. The record is from RNAcentral.